RNAcentral lists this ribosomal RNA (468 nucleotides) under uncultured bacterium. Its description in RNAcentral is "partial 16S ribosomal RNA". It matches the Rfam family "Bacterial small subunit ribosomal RNA", at positions 28 to 507 of the family's 1533-position model. The record is from RNAcentral.
GACGAACGCUGGCGGCGUGCUUAACACAUGCAAGUCGAACGGAAAGGCCCUGCUUUUGUGGGGUGCUCGAGUGGCGAACGGGUGAGUAACACGUGAGUAACCUGCCCUUGACUUUGGGAUAACUUCAGGAAACUGGGGCUAAUACCGGAUAGGAGCUCCUGCUGCAUGGUGGGGGUUGGAAAGUUUCGGCGGUUGGGGAUGGACUCGCGGCUUAUCAGCUUGUUGGUGGGGUAGUGGCUUACCAAGGCUUUGACGGGUAGCCGGCCUGAGAGGGUGACCGGCCACAUGGGGACGGAGAUACGGCCCAGACUCCUACGGGAGGCAGCAGUGGGGAAUAUUGCACAAUGGGCGGAAGCCUGAUGCAGCAACGCCGCGUGCGGGAUGACGGCCUUCGGGUUGUAAACCGCUUUCGCCUGUGACGAAGCGUGAGUGACGGUAAUGGGUAAAGAAGCACCGGCUAACUACGUG